RNAcentral lists this long non-coding RNA (916 nucleotides) under Homo sapiens (human). RNAcentral describes it as "FTX transcript, XIST regulator". Lineage: Eukaryota; Metazoa; Chordata; Mammalia; Primates; Hominidae. The record is from RNAcentral.
AAGGUUGCAAAAUGGCGAGGGGGGAGGUAAGCUGUCUUUGCUUGGCCAUCUUGGGCUAGCAGGCCUUGCAGAGAACUACCUUUUUAGCUGAGUGAAGGGAUCAACCUGAGUUGGAGUUCUCCUAUGCUGUGGCCAGAUCCACUAGAAAUUAACCCAGAAUCUUAGCCUCUCAGUGGCCUAUCGGUGAUGCCACACUCAAUCAGAAACUAUGCUACUGCUGAAGAGGUAUAUUGAGCCCUGCCUGGUUAACCUCCAGUGAGGUUAUUAGAGAAUUGGGAGAGGCUCAAAUCAGCAUCCUGCACCUAGUUAUCAAACCAUUGUGAAGUCUUGAUUCCUGGAUGGCCAGAAAACUUGUCAUUGGUCAAGAGCAACAUUAAGAUCUGCCUGUUACUCAUACUGAUGCUUCCUGCCCAGCAAGUUCAUCAGAGGGCGAGGAUGAAUUACGGUUGCCAUGAAUGUCCUUGUGAGGCAGUUGGGAAGCCUUGGCUGGAUUGUGAAGGAUAUUUGAAAAGUAUUUUAGAGUCCACCAGAUCAUCCAUGUGAGUGACCAUGCAGCAAAAGAAGGAGGGUCCUCUCAGUGAUUAAGGAUUAUGAAGUAUUAAUUCUUCCACUGAUAUCUCAAAAGGUGAUCUGGACAAAGGAACAGGUAUCUCAGCUAGACAGAAGGUACUGGAUAAAAAGAACCCUGAAGCAUGGGAUGAUUUUUUCCCAAUAUUCACUGUGAGAAUCUGUCAGGUAAAACUCGUCUGUGUUUCCCCAUUAUUAGACAUAUCUCCAGAGUUUUUUACUCCCAGACUUGUCCACUCGAAGCCUCCAGUAAUUUCUCAAUUACAGUUCAGGUUUUUCUACCCUGGUACUGGUACAUGUUGAGGUUCUGCUUUGAGGUUUUUGCUCCAGUAAAUUAUGAUUCUCUGUA